GCUCAGUCUGCGUCCGGUCUUUGUUGCAGUCAUGUUGCGCUUGUGAUGAUGAGAACAACACUGACUCAAAUGACUCACAGGCCAGGGGGAGUUUGUCAUUUGUCAGCGUUCAUGUGAAUGUCAACAUCCAAGGUUGAGUCCAGUUCAGCAAAUCCAUUCCGCAAAAGUCAAAAUAUUGCGUAAAGGCUGAGAAUUUCUCACAGCGACAAACAAGAUGGCACCAACCUGAAAUGGGGGACAGACGGAGUUGAGCUGACAAUUUUCUGCUUUCAGAGGGAUUUCCGCUUUGGGAGCAGCUAGUGGUCCUCCGGAGAGGCUCCCUCUCAGAAGUCCGAUGCAUACAAGACCGCUUUUCAGCACACGAGCUCCUUGAUGGAGCCGGGAAAUAAAAAUCCCAUCAAAGAAGCGUGAAGCCGAGCAGAGGAAUUACACUCGCGUGUAGCGGGUAGAAAACGCUGGCGGUGAAAUUCCAUCGUCGUUCCACGCGGCCUUAACUAACGACUCCCUCUCGGCCAGCAAACUUUGCUGGCCCCAAAUAUUAGGUACACCCGCCUGCGCCAUUUCCUUAAAGCUGAAAGCAUCUUUUUCAUGGACCCCAACAUUUUCAUCCAAGUUUGACGCCAUCAAAGACGUGUCCACCAAAAUGGUAAAACUCACGUCACAUCUUUAUUCUGUACUUUCCAAUCAUUUUUUUCAUGAUU
Molecule: long non-coding RNA, 701 nt
Organism: Syngnathus typhle (broad-nosed pipefish)
Lineage: Eukaryota; Metazoa; Chordata; Actinopteri; Syngnathiformes; Syngnathidae
Exons: 5
Source: RefSeq, a predicted model, not a curated record